RNAcentral lists this unclassified non-coding RNA (185 nucleotides) under uncultured Lecophagus. RNAcentral describes it as "sequence contains ITS2". The record is from RNAcentral. Lineage: Eukaryota; Fungi; Ascomycota; Orbiliomycetes; Orbiliales.
CACACCCUCCGUCAGCCCCUUUGCUGGGGUUCGAUCGGGUCCUGAGCGGUGGGAGCCUUCACAGGCCUCGCCCUCUAAAGUGGAAAGCCAGCGGCCCGCCCGCCCAUGAAAGACGUAGUAAUAUCUCAAUGAAUCGUCCGCGAAAGGGUUUUUUGGUUGGGUUUGCCUCAAAUCUUCUUCUCAAG